RNAcentral lists this small RNA (104 nucleotides) under Escherichia coli. RNAcentral's name for it is "partial RtT sRNA". It matches the Rfam family "RtT RNA", at positions 29 to 130 of the family's 130-position model. From Rfam's summary of the family: This family represents a bacterial cis-regulatory element known as RtT RNA. The exact function of RtT is unknown although it is thought that it may be involved in changing the cellular response in relation to amino acid starvation. Lineage: Bacteria; Pseudomonadati; Pseudomonadota; Gammaproteobacteria; Enterobacterales; Enterobacteriaceae. The record is from RNAcentral.
GCUUCGACCAAGGUUUGACUUGAGCGCCAGCGAGAGAGCGUUGCCGCAGGCAACGACCCGAAGGGCGAAGCGUGCAGCGCUGAGUAAUCCUUCCCCCACCACCA